RNAcentral lists this ribosomal RNA (1613 nucleotides) under Escherichia coli. Its description in RNAcentral is "partial 23S ribosomal RNA". It matches the Rfam family "Bacterial large subunit ribosomal RNA", at positions 1 to 1647 of the family's 2925-position model. The record is from RNAcentral. Lineage: Bacteria; Pseudomonadati; Pseudomonadota; Gammaproteobacteria; Enterobacterales; Enterobacteriaceae.
GGGUUGUGAGGUUAAGCGACUAAGCGUACACGGUGGAUGCCCUGGCAGUCAGAGGCGAUGAAGGACGUGCUAAUCUGCGAUAAGCGUCGGUAAGGUGAUAUGAACCGUUAUAACCGGCGAUUUCCGAAUGGGGAAACCCAGUGUGUUUCGACACACUAUCAUUAACUGAAUCCAUAGGUUAAUGAGGCGAACCGGGGGAACUGAAACAUCUAAGUACCCCGAGGAAAAGAAAUCAACCGAGAUUCCCCCAGUAGCGGCGAGCGAACGGGGAGCAGCCCAGAGCCUGAAUCAGUGUGUGUGUUAGUGGAAGCGUCUGGAAAGGCGCGCGAUACAGGGUGACAGCCCCGUACACAAAAAUGCACAUGCUGUGAGCUCGAUGAGUAGGGCGGGACACGUGGUAUCCUGUCUGAAUAUGGGGGGACCAUCCUCCAAGGCUAAAUACUCCUGACUGACCGAUAGUGAACCAGUACCGUGAGGGAAAGGCGAAAAGAACCCCGGCGAGGGGAGUGAAAAAGAACCUGAAACCGUGUACGUACAAGCAGUGGGAGCACGCUUAGGCGUGUGACUGCGUACCUUUUGUAUAAUGGGUCAGCGACUUAUAUUCUGUAGCAAGGUUAACCGAAUAGGGGAGCCGAAGGGAAACCGAGUCUUAACUGGGCGUUAAGUUGCAGGGUAUAGACCCGAAACCCGGUGAUCUAGCCAUGGGCAGGUUGAAGGUUGGGUAACACUAACUGGAGGACCGAACCGACUAAUGUUGAAAAAUUAGCGGAUGACUUGUGGCUGGGGGUGAAAGGCCAAUCAAACCGGGAGAUAGCUGGUUCUCCCCGAAAGCUAUUUAGGUAGCGCCUCGUGAAUUCAUCUCCGGGGGUAGAGCACUGUUUCGGCAAGGGGGUCAUCCCGACUUACCAACCCGAUGCAAACUGCGAAUACCGGAGAAUGUUAUCACGGGAGACACACGGCGGGUGCUAACGUCCGUCGUGAAGAGGGAAACAACCCAGACCGCCAGCUAAGGUCCCAAAGUCAUGGUUAAGUGGGAAACGAUGUGGGAAGGCCCAGACAGCCAGGAUGUUGGCUUAGAAGCAGCCAUCAUUUAAAGAAAGCGUAAUAGCUCACUGGUCGAGUCGGCCUGCGCGGAAGAUGUAACGGGGCUAAACCAUGCACCGAAGCUGCGGCAGCGACGCUGAUGCGUUGUUGGGUAGGGGAGCGUUCUGUAAGCCUGCGAAGGUGUGCUGUGAGGCAUGCUGGAGGUAUCAGAAGUGCGAAUGCUGACAUAAGUAACGAUAAAGCGGGUGAAAAGCCCGCUCGCCGGAAGACCAAGGGUUCCUGUCCAACGUUAAUCGGGGCAGGGUGAGUCGACCCCUAAGGCGAGGCCGAAAGGCGUAGUCGAUGGGAAACAGGUUAAUAUUCCUGUACUUGGUGUUACUGCGAAGGGGGGACGGAGAAGGCUAUGUUGGCCGGGCGACGGUUGUCCCGGUUUAAGCGUGUAGGCUGGUUUUCCAGGCAAAUCCGGAAAAUCAAGGCUGAGGCGUGAUGACGAGGCACUACGGUGCUGAAGCAACAAAUGCCCUGCUUCCAGGAAAAGCCUCUAAGCAUCAGGUAACAUCAAAUCGUAC